Molecule: long non-coding RNA, 243 nt
Organism: Macrosteles quadrilineatus (aster leafhopper)
Lineage: Eukaryota; Metazoa; Arthropoda; Insecta; Hemiptera; Cicadellidae
Exons: 2
Source: RefSeq, a predicted model, not a curated record
GAGCAGGUUUGAAGCAGUUCACCGAAACAGAAAAAGCUCUGGAGAAUGUGAUUAAGGACUGGCUGAGGCCGUCAAAGAACCGUCUGCUCAGCAAGCAGAAGUCAAGGAAAAACCGAGGCGAGGAAGAGCCUCAAAUCCCUGUUAGGGAGGAGGGUGAUGAAGACAGUAACAAUUAAGGAUCUCAACUACUGUGUUAUUUCAUCAUUAUUUCAAUUAUUUUAAUAUACUUUUUUCAAACAUGAA